Molecule: ribosomal RNA, 426 nt
Filed under: uncultured bacterium
Lineage: Bacteria
Description: bacterial SSU rRNA
Rfam family: Bacterial small subunit ribosomal RNA
Source: RNAcentral
GGGGAAUAUUGGGCAAUGGGCGAAAGCCUGACCCAGCGACGCCGCGUGGGUGAUGAAGGCCUUCGGGUUGUAAAGCCCUGUCAUGCGGAAAGAACAGUCUUACGGUUAAUACCCGUGAGAUUUGACGGUACCGCAGGAGGAAGCACCGGCUAACUCCGUGCCAGCAGCCGCGGUAAUACGGAGGGUGCAAGCGUUGUUCGGAAUUAUUGGGCGUAAAGGACGCGUAGGCGGUAAUGAAAGUCAGAUGUGAAAUACUUCGGCUCAACUGAAGAACUGCAUCUGAAACUUCAUAACUAGAGUACAGAAGAGGGAAAUGGAAUUCCCGGUGUAGAGGUGAAAUUCGUAGAUAUCGGGAGGAACACCAGUGGCGAAGGCGAUUUCCUGGUCUGAUACUGACGCUGAGGCGUGAAAGUGUGGGGAGCAAAC